CAUGCAGUCGAGCGAACUGAUUAGAAGCUUGCUUCUAUGACGUUAGCGGCGGACGGGUGAGUAACACGUGGGCAACCUGCCUGUAAGACUGGGAUAACUUCGGGAAACCGAAGCUAAUACCGGAUAGGAUCUUCUCCUUCAUGGGAGAUGAUUGAAAGAUGGUUUCGGCUAUCACUUACAGAUGGGCCCGCGGUGCAUUAGCUAGUUGGUGAGGUAACGGCUCACCAAGGCAACGAUGCAUAGCCGACCUGAGAGGGUGAUCGGCCACACUGGGACUGAGACACGGCCCAGACUCCUACGGGAGGCAGCAGUAGGGAAUCUUCCGCAAUGGACGAAAGUCUGACGGAGCAACGCCGCGUGAGUGAUGAAGGCUUUCGGGUCGUAAAACUCUGUUGUUAGGGAAGAACAAGUACGAGAGUAACUGCUCGUACCUUGACGGUACCUAACCAGAAAGCCACGGCUAACUACGUGCCAGCAGCCGCGGUAAUACGUAGGUGGCAAGCGUUAUCCGGAAUUAUUGGGCGUAAAGCGCGCGCAGGCGGUUUCUUAAGUCUGAUGUGAAAGCCCACGGCUCAACCGUGGAGGGUCAUUGGAAACUGGGGAACUUGAGUGCAGAAGAGAAAAGCGGAAUUCCACGUGUAGCGGUGAAAUGCGUAGAGAUGUGGAGGAACACCAGUGGCGAAGCGGCUUUUUGGUCUG
Molecule: ribosomal RNA, 699 nt
Filed under: Bacillus sp. (in: firmicutes)
Lineage: Bacteria; Bacillati; Bacillota; Bacilli; Caryophanales; Bacillaceae
Description: bacterial SSU rRNA
Rfam family: Bacterial small subunit ribosomal RNA
Source: RNAcentral